RNAcentral lists this unclassified non-coding RNA (253 nucleotides) under uncultured Planctomycetales bacterium. Its description in RNAcentral is "contains 16S-23S intergenic spacer region". It matches the Rfam family "Bacterial small subunit ribosomal RNA", at positions 524 to 776 of the family's 1533-position model. The record is from RNAcentral. Lineage: Bacteria; Pseudomonadati; Planctomycetota; Planctomycetia; Planctomycetales.
UACGAACUGUGCGAACGUUAUUCGGAUUCACUGGGCUUAAAGGGUGCGUAGGCGGUUGCCUAAGUCAGGUGUGAAAGCUCUCGGCUCAACCGAGGAAUUGCGCUUGAGACUGGGUGACUUGAGUGAGAUAGGGGUGUGCGGAACUGCCGGUGGAGCGGUGAAAUGUGUUGAUAUCGGCAGGAACGCCGUUGGCGAAAGCGGCACACUGGGUCUUUUCUGACGCUGAGGCACGAAAGCUAGGGUAGCGAACGGG